RNAcentral lists this ribosomal RNA (178 nucleotides) under uncultured bacterium. Its description in RNAcentral is "partial 16S ribosomal RNA". It matches the Rfam family "Bacterial small subunit ribosomal RNA", at positions 335 to 524 of the family's 1533-position model. The record is from RNAcentral.
ACUCCUACCGGAGGCAGCAGUGGGGAAUAUUGCACAAUGGGCGCAAGCCUGAUGCAGCGACUCCGCGUGAGGGAUGACUGCCUUCGGGUUGUAAACCUCUUUCAAUAGGGACGAAGCUCUUGUGACGGUACCUAUAUAACAAUGACCGGUCAACUACGUGCCACUCAGCCGCGGUAAU